Molecule: ribosomal RNA, 1038 nt
Filed under: Triticum aestivum (bread wheat)
Lineage: Eukaryota; Viridiplantae; Streptophyta; Magnoliopsida; Poales; Poaceae
Description: partial small subunit ribosomal RNA
Source: RNAcentral
AUGCCACCCAUGGCCACCUCCGCGUCCGUGCUCACCCUUCCCCGCCUCUCCAUCUCGCCAACAAUGCCAGCGCGGGCGUCGCCAACCACGACGAUGACGAGGAGGACCAGGCCUCUCCGCGCGGCGUGCACCUACACGCUCCAGGAGGGCCAGUCCCGCCGCUCCCACCGCCUGCCCUGCGGCCUCGACCUCGAGGUCAUAGCCCAGCAACCGCCUUCUCCGCCCCCGACCCCGGGAAGGAGCGAGCGGCCGCCGCUGGUGUUCGUGCAUGGGAGCUUCCACGCGGCCUGGUGCUGGGCGGAGCGCUGGCUGCCCUUCUUCUCGCACGCCGGAUUCCCCUGCUUCGCCCUCAGCCUCCGCGCACAGGGUGAAAGCAGCAUUCCAUCUGACACAGUGGCUGGCACGCUUGAGACACAUACUGGCGAUAUUGCUGAUUUCAUCCGAAAGGAGGUUCCUGUCCCACCCAUACUAAUUGGACAUUCAUUUGGAGGCUUGAUUGUGCAGCAAUAUAUAUCAUGCCUACAAGGUUCAGAACCUUUUCAUCCAAAGCUUUCUGGCGCUGUUCUUGUCUGUUCUGUACCUCCCUCGGGAAACAGUGGAUUAGUAUGGCGUUACCUUUUGACUAAACCAAUUGCUGCUAUCAAGGUUACACUCAGCUUGGCCGCAAAAGCAUAUGCAAAUUCAUUGCCUCUCUGCAAAGAAACAUUUUUCUCAUCACAAAUGGAUGAUGAACUUGUCCUGAGGUACCAAAAUCUAAUGAAGGAAAGCUCAAAGUUGCCACUAUUUGACUUGAGGAAGCUCAAUGCAUCAUUGCCUGUACCUUCUGCCACAGAUGGUACAUUAGAAAUCCUUGUCAUGGGUGCAAGCAAUGAUUUCAUUGUUGAUGCGGAAGGGCUUUCUGAAACUGCAAGAUUUUACAACGUGCAACCUGUCUGUGUGAAAGGGGUAGCACAUGAUAUGAUGUUAGAUUGCUCGUGGGAGAAAGGAGCUGCGAUAAUCCUAUCUUGGUUAGAUAAACUGGCACCAAGAUCAGCCUAG